This is an RNA transcript of Myxocyprinus asiaticus (Chinese sucker), 2845 nucleotides long. It is a transcript of the gene named protein kinase, AMP-activated, gamma 2 non-catalytic subunit b, with no coding region annotated. Lineage: Eukaryota; Metazoa; Chordata; Actinopteri; Cypriniformes; Catostomidae. The transcript is spliced from 16 exons. The record is from RefSeq and is a predicted model, not a curated record.
GCACAUCAGGAACAAAAUUAUUUAGAUUUUAGUUACAGUAUUUCAUGUUCGAAUCCAAGAAAAACGCGCUUUGCACAAUAAACUAAGGAACUGGAGCGUUUGGUUGCAUUUAUUACAUUAUUUUACUGACUUUAUUACUGACAUCCCAGGAUGGAAUGGCUUGCUAGUGAGAUUUUAAGUGGAGCUGAACUGCCCACAGCUGGCAUUAAAUUCGCAUGUGCCUAGUGCAGGUUUCAAACUUCCUGCUAAACAAGAUUUACUCCGAGAUAAACACAACUCGGUAUCAGUUUGCUACGACACGACUUCGCAAUGGGACUUCAUCAGUUUUCGGACGUAUAGCUUCAUUAGCCUGAUGAAGACGGUGGCCAGUGCGGGAAUUAAAGCACAGACUUCGUCGAGUUUGAAUGCGGAUGUUCUCCUCGACGCAUGUGAGUCUGAUAAGGAACUGGAACCUCGGGAUGUGCUCCGUUUAAAGCAGCCGCGCUUCUGCAGAUUUCUGUGACUCGUCAGUGAAGAGGAGAGAAUAAUUUUGAGAGUUGAGCGGGUAUAUUUUCUAUAAAGAAUAAGUUUUUUCGGCAGAAAAAAUACAAAUAAAAAUGGGGAGCACAGUGAUGGACUCCAAGAAAAAGGACUGCACAAAGAAAUCCUCAAAGAAAAAGAGAUCUCUUCGACUAAACAUGCCAAAUUUGGGUACAUUUGCAUCCCCUUUUGUGGAUGGAGAGACAGACAGAUCAGAUGAAGAUGAAAUCCGAAAGGGUGAGAGAAGUGGCUCAGCCAGCCCAACAAGAGGCCCAUGUUUAAGGUAUCCUGUCAGCCUCCCCUGUACCCCAUUUACAGCCCCUGUAUGUCCCAGGAGCAGUCCAGGCUCUCCCAAAACCAUCUUCUCCCGUCUGUCUCACCAGAAUUCGCCUCCCAAAUCUCCCCGUCGUCUCAGUUUCAGUGGUAUCUUCCGCUCCUCGUCCAACUCAGCUCCUGCCAGCAUCAAGCUCUUCUCCAGAUCUAGAAAAGGUUCUGGACUUUCCACUCCCCCCACCACCCCGACGCAGCAUCCAGUUCCACCAGUCUUCCAUUUGGAGACUCCCAGUCCUUCGGAACGUGUGGAGGAACGCCGCACCCGCUCUCUCUCCUCUCCCCCUGAUACAGGUCAGCGCUUCAGCCUGACCCCCUCCUCCACCAAACCCCCUAUCGCCUUGUACACCUCUAACUCUACCUCACGCCAGAGUUGCGGACUUGCUGAAGGCAUGCUGGAAAAACUUGAACUUGAUGAUGAAGCUUCUGAAGAGCCAGACAGUGACAUUUACAUGCGCUUUAUAAAAUCCCACAAGUGCUAUGACCUCAUCCCCACCAGUUCCAAACUAGUGGUCUUUGACACUACACUACAGGUAAAGAAAGCUUUCUUUGCCCUGGUUGCUAAUGGAGUUCGGGCUGCCCCAUUAUGGGAAACAAAAAAGCAAAGCUUUGUGGGAAUGUUAACCAUCACAGAUUUCAUCAUCAUACUGCACAGAUACUACAAGUCGCCGCUGGUGCAAAUAUAUGAGCUGGAGGAGCAUAAAAUUGAGACUUGGAGAGAACUUUACCUGCAAGAAACUUUUAAACCUUUAGUCAACAUAUCUCCAGAUGCAAGUAUAUUCGAUGCUGUUUACUCACUCAUCAAAAAUAAGAUCCAUCGUUUGCCGGUGAUCGAUCCUGUCACAGGAAAUGCCCUGUAUAUCCUCACACACAAGAGAAUCCUCAAGUUUCUGCAGCUCUUUGUGUGUGAGAUGCCUAAACCAGCAUUCAUGAGACAGACUCUAGAGGAACUGGGCAUUGGCACAUACAGCAACAUAGCUUUCAUUCACCCAGACACACCCAUUAUUAAAGCAUUGGGCAUCUUUGUGGAAAGAAGAGUAUCUGCCCUGCCUGUGGUGGAUGUUACAGGAAAAGUUGUGGACAUUUACUCCAAAUUUGAUGUCAUUAACCUGGCUGCUGAGAAGACCUACAAUAACCUGGAUAUCACCGUGACUCAGGCUCUGCUGCAUCGCACACAGUACUUUGAGGGGGUUAUGAAGUGUUACCGGCACGAGACUCUGGAGACAAUAGUGGACAGAAUCGUCAAAGCCGAGGUGCACAGGCUAGUUGUGGUGGAUGAUAACUCCAGUAUUAAGGGCAUCAUCUCUCUGUCUGACAUCCUGCAGGCGCUGGUACUCACCCCCGCAGGUAUAGACGCACAGAAUUCCUAAUCCCACCUUCCAUUUCACUUUCCCUUCUCUCCUUUCAACUUUUCCCCGGACCCACCUCUCAUCUCCCUGGACAUCCUUCACAUGAGUGUCCCUCUCUGACCCCCUGAGCACAGGAGGGACAGUGUGACUGAAUGACAAGACAAAAGACAUUUUUUGGGUGUAAGAGAGAUGCAAGAAACUUUCCACUUUGAGAACCGACUGGUCCAGACAGCGUUCCUAAACCUGAUCCUGAUCUGCACACUGAAGAGAACAGCUGGAAGCACAAAAAUGCAUUGUAGAUCUUCAAGUGCUGAAAUGGGUUUGUGCCCUGAACGAUAUCUGCAGCUGUGGGAAUGGACAUGUGAUCAUAGCGCACAAAUGUUUAUGGUGGGCCAGCCCUCAGAAUCUGCCGCUGCACUGUACACACUGCUCUAAAUGCUGGGCAUGUUUGCAUGGUCAUGCUGCUGGUUUUGAAAUCCCUCACUGACAGCACUAAAUCAGGCCUGAAGAGGAAGUCUCAUUUUGUGUUCCAGCAGGGUCUGUGUUAUAUCAUCAUGCACUGUAAUCCACUCUUGGCUGGGUGUCUGAAGUGGAAACUUGCCUUAAAUGAAGACCUCGCAGAGAGUUGAUGUAUUGGUUAGCUGAGA